AUCAAUCGAUGGAUGAUCCUGGUAAUCACAUGAGUUACGAAGCUCUCUAUAAAUGUGCUGUAAAAUUGAUUUUGGACAAUAAAUGUUAGACUCUAUAAUAGCUAAAUUUUAAACAUAUUCAGUAAAAAUAUAAUACUUACAACCGACUCUGAAUAUGGAUGAGAUCUUUAUUCUUCAGUCGAGUCAAAGGUGCUGCAAGCCGGAUGGAUCCUCUACCA
RNAcentral lists this long non-coding RNA (218 nucleotides) under Elaeis guineensis (African oil palm). RNAcentral's name for it is "long non-coding RNA (EGUI_LNC031130)". Lineage: Eukaryota; Viridiplantae; Streptophyta; Magnoliopsida; Arecales; Arecaceae. The record is from RNAcentral.